UAGGGAAUCUUCGGCAAUGGGGGGAACCCUGACCGAGCAACGCCGCGUGAGUGAAGAAGGUUUUCGGAUCGUAAAGCUCUGUUGUUAAGGAAGAACGAGUGUGAGAAUGGAAAGUUCAUGCUGUGACGGUACUUAACCAGAAAGGGACGGCUAACUACGUGCCAGCAGCCGCGGUAAUCCGUAGGUCCCGAGCGUUGUCCGGAUUUAUUGGGCGUAAAGCGAGCGCAGGCGGUUAGAAAAGUCUGAAGUGAAAGGCAGUGGCUCAACCAUUGUAGGCUUUGGAAACUGUUUAACUUGAGUGCAGAAGGGGAGAGUGGAAUUCCAUGUGUAGCGGUGAAAUGCGUAGAUAUAUGGAGGAACACCGGUGGCGAAAGCGGCUCUCUGGUCUGUAACUGACGCUGAGGCUCGAAAGCGUGGGGAGCGAACAGG
Molecule: ribosomal RNA, 429 nt
Filed under: Bacteroidota bacterium
Lineage: Bacteria; Pseudomonadati; Bacteroidota
Also listed under: 1 other name
Description: Bacteroidetes bacterium partial 16S ribosomal RNA
Rfam family: Bacterial small subunit ribosomal RNA
Source: RNAcentral